AUUGCCCGGUAGCUAAGUGCGGAAGAGAUAACCGCUGAAAGCAUCUAAGCGGGAAACUUGCCUUGAGAUGAGUCUUCCCUGACUCUUUAAGAGUCCUAAAGGAACGUUUAAGACUAAGACGUUGAUAGGUUGGGUGUGUAAGCGUAGCGAUACGUUGAGCUAACCAAUACUAAUGAACCGUGAGGCUUAACCUG
Molecule: ribosomal RNA, 194 nt
Filed under: Providencia rettgeri
Lineage: Bacteria; Pseudomonadati; Pseudomonadota; Gammaproteobacteria; Enterobacterales; Morganellaceae
Description: partial 23S ribosomal RNA
Rfam family: Bacterial large subunit ribosomal RNA
Source: RNAcentral